UCCUUGGUGGUCCAGUGGUUAAGACUCUGCGCUUUCAAUGCAGAGGGCUUACGUUCAAUCCCUGGUUGGGGAA
This 73-nucleotide transfer RNA is filed under the name Bos taurus (domestic cattle). It matches the Rfam family "tRNA". From Rfam's summary of the family: Transfer RNA (tRNA) molecules are approximately 80 nucleotides in length. The record is from Rfam by way of RNAcentral. Lineage: Eukaryota; Metazoa; Chordata; Mammalia; Artiodactyla; Bovidae.